GGCGGAAGUGCGGUGUUCUAGCAGGUGGCUGCUUUCUCUGGGCUGGCUGUGGGAGGCUCCCGAGGUGGGGACCCGGCCGGGAUGGCUGCAGCGGCGGCCGGGGCUGGGAGCGGGCCCUCGGCGGCCCAGGAGAAGCAGUUCCUGCCGGCGCUGCUGAGUUUCUUCAUCUACAACCCGCGCUUCUGGCCGCGGGAAGGAGAGACCUCCCAGUGCCAAGUGUAUAAGCGUGUCCAGAAUUGGUGGGUCUCACUGACUUCAAGAAUGAAGCCGCGGACCCUCCUGGCGGAAUUCUCCACGAGUUUUGAGCAGCCUCGGUUUUCCCACCACCUCCAAAUCAUGCAAGACACAGGGCAGAGCCCCCGGAGCCAUGGCCAGCCCUUCCGGCAGCUCCAAAGCCACUGGCAAGCCCCGAGGCAGGGAUGGCCGGCCCAGGAGGGAGGAGGACGACGUCCCUCCCGAAGAGAAGAGGCUGCGGCUCUUGCUGGAGGGGGGAAGCGCACAGCCCCAGGACUGCGAGGACGGGGAGGACGCGCCGCGGCCGGGCAGGGAGGAGACCGGCACCCAGACAGGUGGCGACGGCAGAGGAGCGCAGUGGCUCACACCUGUAAUCCCAGCACUUUGGCAGGUCGAGGCUGGCGGAUCACCUAAGGUCAGGAGUUCGAGACCAGCCUAGCCAACAUGGCGGAACUGUCUCUACUAAAAAUACAGAAAUUAGCCAGGUGUGAUGGCACACACCUGUAAUCCCAGCUGCUUGGGAGGCUGAGGCAGGAGAAUCAUUUGAACCUGGGAGACAGAGGUUGCAGUCAGCCGAGAUCACACCACUGCACUUCAGCCACCUGGGUGACAGAGCGAGACUCUGUUUCAAAAAUAAAUAAAUAAAUAAAAUAGAAUUCU
Molecule: long non-coding RNA, 894 nt
Filed under: Homo sapiens (human)
Lineage: Eukaryota; Metazoa; Chordata; Mammalia; Primates; Hominidae
Description: long non-coding RNA NONHSAT213742.1
Source: RNAcentral